Molecule: ribosomal RNA, 274 nt
Filed under: uncultured bacterium
Lineage: Bacteria
Description: partial 16S ribosomal RNA
Rfam family: Bacterial small subunit ribosomal RNA
Source: RNAcentral
AUACGGAGGGUGCAAGCGUUACUCGGAAUCACUGGGCGUAAAGCGCGCGCAGGCGGCUAUUUAAGUUGGAUGUGAAAGCCUAUGGCUCAACCAUAGAACUGCAUCCAAAACUAUUUAGCUAGAGUGUGGGAGAGGAAGAUGGAAUUAGUUGUGUAGGGGUAAAAUCCGUAGAGAUAACUAGGAAUACCAAAAGCGAAGGCAAUCUUCUGGAACGCUACUGACGCUGAGGCGCGAAAGCGUGGGGAGCAAACAGGAUUAGAAACCCUAGUAGUCC